CUUGGAAUAGAUAUUUAGUAUCUAUUUGAAGACAGAAGAACCCAAGGAGGUUAUACCAUACAAAGUACCCAGAGUCAUAUUCUGGAGGCUGAUAAGCAGAUAGUGUUCUGACAGGCAAAGUGGAGGAGAAGGAGAAUUCCAGAUUAUACUCAUUGGAUGACCCAUCAAGAUGACUGGUCCUGGGGGACAAAAAUCAGAAGAUGAGUAGAUU
RNAcentral lists this long non-coding RNA (211 nucleotides) under Monodelphis domestica (gray short-tailed opossum). RNAcentral describes it as "lncRNA (ENSMODG00000050114.1)". Lineage: Eukaryota; Metazoa; Chordata; Mammalia; Didelphimorphia; Didelphidae. The record is from RNAcentral.